CUGCAGUGGAUUUUUCGGCCUUUUCAAAGAAGGAUUCCAGAGCCUCUUGAUAAGGGCCCGAGCACUGACUUAGUCGGAGCGGAGGACCUCUCACGUUCAUGAUUCCCUGAGAUGAUCAUCUAUUACAACACUUGAUGGUACAGUUCCACAUCCUAUUUACUGUCUCUUUCUACCCCUUUUCUGCUCCAGAUGAUAACAGUGAGCUGAUUGAGUCUGCUCAGAGGGACGAAACUGACCAGCUUGAGACCUCUGUGGAUGGCCUGAAUCCAACAUUCACACAACUUGGUCUCUUCAACUGGGUUGAAGAGAUGAUAACAGUGAGCUGAUUGAGUCUGCUCUGAGGGACAAACUGACCAGCUUGAGACCUCUGUGGAUGGCCUGAAUCCAACAUUCACACAACUUGGUCUCCUCAACAGGGUUGAAGAGUUUGUUCUGGCAUCAAUCCUCAGAAGAGUUACAAAUGAUAACCAACACCCAUCACAGUUUCUGGAGUGCAUGUCCGAUGAGGAAUGCACACGGACUCGGAAACACAAGAUGACGACGAUGAUGAUUAUGAUGAUGAUGAUUCCGAUGCAAGCAUCCCCAUUACGCCUCAUCAGUUGAAACCAGGACGGAUUCAAGUGAAACCAGUACUACCUGACGCUGGAGCAUCUCAUGGGUCAGACACAAGCAUCCCAGUCGUCAAAAGAUCGCCCAACUCUUCAAAUCACUUCCAAUGCUGCUGAAACCUCGAGUUACCAACGACUCAACACAGGAAAAUUGUGAAGUUGAACUUAACAGACAACAAGUAACCACAAACGAUUACUGUUAUGUUUAUGGUAAACCACAAAGCAACACUAUCUGUCUCUCACUGUCUUUAUGUCUCUCUAUCGAUCUCUCUCUGUCUCUCUCUCCUCACUGUCUAUGUCUCUCCAUGUCUCUCUCUUUGUCCCUUCACUGUUUAUGUCUCUCUGUCUCUCUUUGUGUCUCUCUCCUCACUGUUUAUGUCUCUGUGUCUGUCUUUAUAUCUCUGUCUCCUUAUUGUCUACGUCCCUCUGUGUCUGUCUAUGUCCCUCUGUCUCCUCAUUAUCUAUGUCUUUCUGUGUCUUUCUCUCCUGACUGUCUACGUCUCGAUGUGUCUGUCUCUUGUCUUUAUAUCUGUCUCUUUAUUGUCUACGUCCCUCUGUGUCUGUCUUUAUGUCUCCCUCUGUCUCCUCAUUGUCUAUGUCUGUCUCUAUGUAUCUCUCUCUCUGUCUCCUCCAUGGAUAUGUCUCUCUGUCUGUCUGAUGUCUCUCUCUGUAUCCUUACUUUCUAUGCGUGUCUGUCUGUGUCUUUAUGUCUCUCUCUGUCUCCAAAUUGUUUAUGUCCCUCUGUGUCUGUCUUUAUGUCUCUCUCUCUGUCUCCUCACUGUCUCUGUCUCUCUGUCUUUAUGUAUGUCUCUCUGUCUCUCUAUCUUUAUGUAUGUCUCUCUCUCUGUCUCCUCACUGUCUCUCUGUCUUUAUGUAUGUCUCUCUCUGUCUCCUCAC
Molecule: long non-coding RNA, 1505 nt
Organism: Pseudoliparis swirei
Lineage: Eukaryota; Metazoa; Chordata; Actinopteri; Perciformes; Liparidae
Exons: 4
Source: RefSeq, a predicted model, not a curated record